GGCAUCCAGUGCCUUGUACUUAAUGAAAGUUUGCAACACUCUGAGCAACUGUUCUCAGUUCUUCUGCCUUAUUUCUGGCCUCCGUUGCAACUGUUUUGACCUAGUGAAGGCCUAGACUUUCUCAGACAGAUUUCUUUUAACUCUUCUGCCCUGACUCCAGUCUUCACUGGGAUGCUGCCUUGCACUUAGGGAAGGUUCACAUGCCUCAAGGAUCUCUCUCUCUCAGAUUUCUUGACUUUCCCUCAGUCUUCAGUAUAGUCCUCCUCUGUGCCUGGUGAAGACCUGUGGUAAAGUGCUGGCAGAGAGGAAGCUAAAUCACGUAAAAAUUAAGAAACAGCUCAGCGUUUCACAGCUAAGCUGCCGGCUUCCCCUUGAAGGAAUAGGAGUAGACCUGCUGAACUAUCACAUGAGAGAAGAGGCCCAAAAGCUUGCACACUACAGUCAAGCUGGCCCUUAAAGAGAUGGACCUAGAAGAUGCUGAGCCAGAUGUACUCAAUUACUUCUCCAAAAUUCAUCAAUUAGAACUGCUUCUUGCUGCCGCCAUAUGAAGAAGGACGUGUUCGCUUCCCCUUCCUCCAUGAUUGUAAGUUUCCUGAGACCUCGCCAGCCAUGCUGAACUGAAUACAACAUGUUUAAGACCACAGAACAUCUGCAUAGGCUGUAAAUUUCGUUGAAUGAUGGAUGCAAAGAUGGAAGACAGAUGGAUAGAGGAAAAGACAGAAUCAGAUACUGGAUGAGUUAGUACUGCUGCCUGUGCUUCAGAGCUGUCUUAUUACCACAAGGCCGGCAAGCAUCAAUGUCCCCACAUCCCCCUCUGCCUCCCCCUGAAAUGUACCGAUUUAUAUGAAAAUUAAGAUUACAAAUUAAAGCCUGGCUAUCCUGGAGUUUUCCAGUUCAUCAGCCAUCCAAUAAAAAUGAUGUCAAGCCUGUAUGCAUAAUUCCCGGAAGAUUACUUUCGUCCUUACAGCUAAGCCCUGUCCCUGAUAUGAAAGAUCUCUAUCCACUUUUAUUGAAAUAAAGAACUAACAUCAUAAUCCCAAUAUUGAGGUAUAAUCUUCAUUAUCUCCUGACCCUCUUGAGGUUCCCCCAAUCUAUAUUACUUCAGAUUUGGUUUAUGUGUAAUCCUUAUGUAUUUACUUUUAUUGAGAUAGGAUUAAAAACUAAAAAAAAAGCUUCAAAAAA
RNAcentral lists this long non-coding RNA (1182 nucleotides) under Homo sapiens (human). RNAcentral describes it as "HSALNT0320485". Lineage: Eukaryota; Metazoa; Chordata; Mammalia; Primates; Hominidae. The record is from RNAcentral.